AACGAACGCUGGCGGCAUGCCUAACACAUGCAAGUCGAACGAGACCUUCGGGUCUAGUGGCGCACGGGUGCGUAACACGUGGGAAUUUGCCUCGGGGUAUGGAAUAACUCAGGGAAACUUGAGCUAAUACCAUAUAAUGUCUUCGGACCAAAGAUUUAUCGCCCUGAGAUAAGCCCGCGUAGGAUUAGCUAGUUGGUGGGGUAAAGGCUCACCAAGGCGACGAUCCUUAGCUGGUCUGAGAGGAUGAUCAGCCACACUGGGACUGAGACACGGCCCAGACUCCUACGGGAGGCAGCAGUGGGGAAUAUUGGACAAUGGGCGAAAGCCUGAUCCAGCAAUGCCGCGUGAGUGAUGAAGGCCUCGGUUGUAAACUGCUUUGUACAGGAAGAAACCCUACCCACCGUGUGGGAGGCUUGACGGUACUGUAGGAAUAAGGAUCGGCUAACUACCGUGCCAGCAGCCGCGGUAAUGUGAC
RNAcentral lists this ribosomal RNA (475 nucleotides) under uncultured bacterium. RNAcentral's name for it is "bacterial SSU rRNA". It matches the Rfam family "Bacterial small subunit ribosomal RNA", at positions 29 to 529 of the family's 1533-position model. The record is from RNAcentral.